GACGUUAGCUCAGUUGGUAGAGCAUGUGACUUUUAAUCACAGGGUCGCGGGUUCGAUCCCCGCACAUC
This 68-nucleotide transfer RNA is filed under the name pig gut metagenome. It matches the Rfam family "tRNA". Rfam says of the family: Transfer RNA (tRNA) molecules are approximately 80 nucleotides in length. Their secondary structure includes four short double-helical elements and three loops (D, anti-codon, and T loops). Further hydrogen bonds mediate the characteristic L-shaped molecular structure. tRNAs have two regions of fundamental functional importance: the anti-codon, which is responsible for specific mRNA codon recognition, and the 3' end, to which the tRNAs corresponding amino acid is attached (by aminoacyl-tRNA synthetases). tRNAs cope with the degeneracy of the genetic code in two manners: having more than one tRNA (with a specific anti-codon) for a particular amino acid; and 'wobble' base-pairing, i.e. permitting non-standard base-pairing at the 3rd anti-codon position. The record is from RNAcentral.